AACGAACGCUGGCGGCGGGGUUUAGGCAUGCAAGUCGAGCGAGAAAGGGGAAACCCGAGUAAAGCGGCGUAAGGGUGAGUAAUAGGUAGUUCACGUAUCCUCCAGAUGCGGAUAAUUCCCCGAAAGGGGUUGUAAUACGCGAUGAGACCACGCGGGAUCCGUCCUGUGAGGUCAAAGGUUCGGGAUCCUUCGGGACCGAGCGCUGGUGGAGCGGACGACCUCCGAUUAGCUAGAUGGCGGGGUAACGGCCCACCANGGCGAUGAUCGGUAGCCGGCCUGAGAGGGUGUUCGGCCACACUGGGACUGAGACACUGCCCAGACUCCUACGGGAGGCUGCAGUCGCGAAUCAUUCACAAUGGGCGCAAGCCUGAUGAUGCCACGCCGCGUGCGGGAUGAAGGCCC
This 402-nucleotide ribosomal RNA is filed under the name uncultured bacterium. Its description in RNAcentral is "bacterial SSU rRNA". It matches the Rfam family "Bacterial small subunit ribosomal RNA", at positions 28 to 417 of the family's 1533-position model. The record is from RNAcentral.